ACAACUUAAUCUCAGUGGUUCUAGACCUACUUUAAGUUAGAGCUCGUGGUUGCUUUAAUGUAGGAGGACUUUUUUCAAAGGUGGCACACUCCACUCCUAUCCUAUAAAGAAUGGGGAUUCUACGACUACGGUUAUUAGGUCGAAAUCUGAAGUUUGCACCUCUCUCCAGGGUACAAGUUCCCUUCGUUUCGAUAAGGCAGACAUCGACAUCGUAGUUCUAUUCUGUUCUAUUAGUGCCAGUUCCGGUGCCGGUUGUACCUGUUACAGCAACUACAGUACCGGUUCCUCUAGUAGAAGUUCCCCGGGGAGCAUCCUGUUCAAGCAGUAUUUAAUACUCCAGUUUCUUAGCCUUAGCUCGGGAAGCUAUUUCCUGGUCCUUGAAAGGUGGGACCUUUCGCUCGUAUUUGAAUUCCGUUG
This 417-nucleotide long non-coding RNA is filed under the name Coffea arabica (coffee). RNAcentral describes it as "long non-coding RNA (CARA_LNC008321)". The record is from RNAcentral. Lineage: Eukaryota; Viridiplantae; Streptophyta; Magnoliopsida; Gentianales; Rubiaceae.